AAUAUAAUUUAAAAUAAAAGACAUUUAAAGAUUUUAUGGAAAUGCAAUAUUUUAAAAAAUAAAUUUUUAAUUUUUAAAAUAUUAAAUAUUUUGUAUUCAAAUUUAAUAUGAAAAAGUUACUUAUAGAAGGUGUAUCUAACUAGAAGUUUGAGUUGAUUUGUAUUAAAAUGAAAAAAAUCGUUGCUAUUCAAAUGUUAAUUAAAAAAAAAACUUUAAAAUUCUGUAUUAUUGAAUUUUCCAUUUCGUAAAAGUAUUUUUAAAUCUAUUAUUUUUGAACAAAAUUUAAAUUGUAGAUUUUAUAGUGCUUUAAGUGUUUCUAAAAUGUUUGAGAGAAGUUUCUUAAUUAUAAAAAUAAAAAUUCAAUUAUUAUAGUUGUAAUAAGAUUUUAGAGUGGUUUAAUAAAAAGCAAAUAAAUUAGUUCAAAUUUUAGAUUGAAUAAACCUCCUUAAUAAAUAUCUAAACAUUCAGAUAUUUAUAAUGGCACAAAUCGUAAAUAAUGUGACAGUUAAAAAGUUCACUAUGAUAAAUACUCGAGAAAAUUACAUUGAUAGACACUUCUUGUGUUUGUAACAUCAAAAGACACUUCUUGCUUAUAGUGCGUUGUUUGUCAAAUAUACCUUCCAACUACGUCUGUUUCUCCUUAGUCCAUCGAACCUAAUACUGUCUUUUUUAAAUGUUAAUGUAAAAUAAAGAUACGACUUUCUCAAUUGUCUUCACCAAACUCCAUUAUCUCUCCUUCUCAGUAUCUGAAAUUCUAUUUUCUCUUGUUCUCAAUCUCAUAAACAUCAAUUGACCCUGAGAACUCCCGCAACGAAACCAAAUUGUUUCAACCUAAUAUGUGGUAUAUAUAUGUUUUUCACCCAUCGUCUCUUAACCACCGCCGAACAACACCUCACACACAUCCUUGUUCCGAGACCAAUUAUGGAUUCGAUUUCAAAAAGACGUAAGGGUGGAUACAGGGUAAUGGAUGUGGAGGAGAGGGAGAGGUGAUGAUGGAGAAGAUGGAAAUAAAAGCUGAGGAGAGUUUGAUUUGUUACUUAACCUGAGACUGGAAUAUUAAAGGGGUUUGGGUUUGUCACUUUCAAGGAUGAUAAAUCCACGAAGAAUUCUAUGGAAGGGAUGAACGGACAUAAGCUUGAUGGUCUCUAUGAGCAAGGCACAGUCUCGUUGAAGCGGUGGCGGUGGAGGGCGUGGUGGAGGCGGUGGUGUUUUGUGUUUAUGUAGAAGGCGGUGGUGGAAAACAUGAGCGUGUAUACAGUGGUGGAAGUGGCUACUUAAGUGGCGGUAGAUACCGCAGUGGAGGCUGUGGUGGUGGAAGACGUGAGGUUGGGGCAUACAGAGGUGGAGGCCGUGUUAAGUGGCGGUAGAUACCGCAGUGGAGGCUGUGGUGGUUGUGGAAGAGGCGGUGGUGGAUACAGAGGUGGAAGACGUGAGGGUGGAUACGGUGCUAUUGGAGAGAGGAAGAGGUGGUGGUUGGGGAUACGAAGGUGGUGAAGGUGGAGGGUACGAAGGAAGUCUUGGUGUUGGUGUUUGGAAAUUAGAUUCAGGUGUUGAGAUUGUUACGAUUGUUUUGUUUGGAUUGUAACAUUUCGAAAUUAAAUAUUUGAUUUUUGAAAAAACAUUAAUAGUUUAACUA
Molecule: long non-coding RNA, 1636 nt
Organism: Brassica napus (rape)
Lineage: Eukaryota; Viridiplantae; Streptophyta; Magnoliopsida; Brassicales; Brassicaceae
Exons: 2
Source: RefSeq, a predicted model, not a curated record